This 65-nucleotide transfer RNA is filed under the name Ellipes minuta. RNAcentral's name for it is "tRNA-Tyr". Lineage: Eukaryota; Metazoa; Arthropoda; Insecta; Orthoptera; Tridactylidae. The record is from RNAcentral.
GGUAAGAUGACUGAUAUAAGUGGUAGAUUGUAAAUCUAUAAAUGAGUUUAAUAGCUCUCUUAUCA